GCGCUCGUCGGCAUUGGUGCAACGGCUUUCGCUCAAAACGAAAGUGCUGGGAGUUCGAAUCUCCCCGGGCGUACCA
RNAcentral lists this transfer RNA (76 nucleotides) under Candidatus Omnitrophota bacterium. Its description in RNAcentral is "tRNA-Leu". It matches the Rfam family "tRNA". Rfam says of the family: Transfer RNA (tRNA) molecules are approximately 80 nucleotides in length. Their secondary structure includes four short double-helical elements and three loops (D, anti-codon, and T loops). Further hydrogen bonds mediate the characteristic L-shaped molecular structure. tRNAs have two regions of fundamental functional importance: the anti-codon, which is responsible for specific mRNA codon recognition, and the 3' end, to which the tRNAs corresponding amino acid is attached (by aminoacyl-tRNA synthetases). tRNAs cope with the degeneracy of the genetic code in two manners: having more than one tRNA (with a specific anti-codon) for a particular amino acid; and 'wobble' base-pairing, i.e. permitting non-standard base-pairing at the 3rd anti-codon position. The record is from RNAcentral. Lineage: Bacteria; Pseudomonadati; Candidatus Omnitrophota.